RNAcentral lists this unclassified non-coding RNA (234 nucleotides) under plant metagenome. RNAcentral describes it as "partial contains small subunit ribosomal RNA, internal transcribed spacer 1, and 5.8S ribosomal RNA". The record is from RNAcentral.
UUUCCGUAGGUGAACCUGCGGAAGGAUCAUUACAGUAGUCACCCAGGUUGCCGCAAGGCCUCCUGGGUAACCUACCACCCUUUGUUUAUUACACUUUGUUGCUUUGGCAAGCCUGCCCUCGGGCUGCUGGCUCCGGCCGGCGAGCGCUUGCCAGAGGACCUAAACUCUGUUUGUCUAUACUGUCUGAGUACUAUAUAAUAGUUAAAACUUUCAACAACGGAUCUCUUGGUUCAG